ACAGCUGCCGGCAUGGAGCUCAGAUCGGUCCAGCGGCAUUCCGCGUCUCGCCACCCCCGGCCGUCCGCGCCUCCCCGGCGGCUUCAGCCUCCCUGAUUUCACCGCGGAGGACCAAUGAGGGCCGAGUCGGACCUUCCCCGUGGGGCCGUGCUCCCGUUGCUCCGCUCCCUCCGCGUGGGCCCAGGGCGGGAAGAAGAGGUUGCCUUUUAAUCCUAGCAGGCUGUUCAGGUGAUUCCAUCACCUACAAGAGGAUUUGUCCGUGGACAAGUACUUUUGCCUGUCUCAAAGGACUAGCCAGUUGGCCUACGUUUGUGGAAUACCAUAAAACACCAAGAAGAAAAAAUAGGAAGUUAAGCCUGGCUUCAACAGAAUUCUGGUCAUGAUAGACCAGAUUCAAAUCACUUGACUUUAGCUGAAUGAAUCACCAUGGUGGGAAAGGGAGGAUUACCUGGAUCUAGGAGUCUCCUGUCCUCUGACUUGGAAAGCCUCAGGGGCCUUGGCUUCUAGAGGGGGAGGAAAAACUCCUGCCUUAGCUUAGCCUAAAAACAUUCUCCUGCGUCUGUCAUUCACUGCCACGCUAGGACAAGUCCUAGGAGACUUCCAUCUGAGUUAUGAAACCAUUAUGACGCUGUAGCAUUUAUUUCCAUUUGGAAUAAAUUGUUUUAGAAGAAUUUGUUAAAUUUAGAAUAUAGUAUCCUAUCAAAAUGUUUGGAAAAUAUGGACUGCUCCAAGAUCAGUCCACAAAAAAAGCCCCUAGCUUGGCCCAUAACAAAUUGUAUUGAUGACAUUGUUUCUAAAUUAAUUCUGUAAUGCUUAGAAA
Long non-coding RNA from Phascolarctos cinereus (koala), 820 nucleotides. RefSeq lists it as uncharacterized. The record is from RefSeq and is a predicted model, not a curated record. Lineage: Eukaryota; Metazoa; Chordata; Mammalia; Diprotodontia; Phascolarctidae.